UACGGAGGGGGCGAGCGUUAUUCGGAAUCAUUGGGCGUAAAGGGCGCGUAGGCGGCCCGGUAAGUCAAAGGUGAAAUCCCUCGGCUCAACUGAGGAACUGCCUUUGAAACUGUCGGGCUUGAGGCCGGGAGGGGGUGGCGGAAUUCCCAGUGUAGCGGUGAAAUGCGUAGAUAUUGGGAGGAACACCAGUGGCGAAGGCGGCAUCCUGGACCAACACUGACACUGAGGAGCGAAAGCCAGGGGAGCAAACGGG
Molecule: ribosomal RNA, 253 nt
Filed under: uncultured bacterium
Lineage: Bacteria
Description: partial 16S ribosomal RNA
Rfam family: Bacterial small subunit ribosomal RNA
Source: RNAcentral